Molecule: ribosomal RNA, 493 nt
Filed under: uncultured bacterium
Lineage: Bacteria
Description: partial 16S ribosomal RNA
Rfam family: Bacterial small subunit ribosomal RNA
Source: RNAcentral
ACGAACGCUGGCGGCGUGCUUAACACAUGCAAGUCGAACGGAAGGGCCUGCUUUCCCUUGUGGAUUGCGGGUACUCGAGUGGCGAACGGGUGAGUAACACGUGAGUGAUCUGCCCCCAACUUGGGUAUAAGCCUGGGAAACUGGGUCUAAUUCCCGAUAGGACUGCAGGGUGGUGCCUGUGGUGGAAAACGAUUUUCUAGUGGUUGGGGAUGAGCUCGCGGCCUAUCAGCUUGUUGGUGGGGUAAUGGCCUACCAAGGCGGCGACGGGUAGCCGGCCUGAGAGGGUGGACGGCCACAUUGGGACUGAGAUACGGCCCAGACUCCUACGGGAGGCAGCAGUGGGGAAUAUUGCACAAUGGGCGGAAGCCUGAUGCAGCGACGCCGCGUGGGGGAUGACGGCCUUCGGGUUGUAAACUCCUUUCGACCGCGAGGAAGCCACCUGGUUGGAAGGGUGGUGACGGUAGUGGUAGAAGAAGCACCGGCUAACUACGUG